RNAcentral lists this ribosomal RNA (702 nucleotides) under uncultured bacterium. RNAcentral's name for it is "bacterial SSU rRNA". It matches the Rfam family "Bacterial small subunit ribosomal RNA", at positions 338 to 1058 of the family's 1533-position model. The record is from RNAcentral.
CCUACGGGAGGCAGCAGUGGGGAAUAUUGCGCAAUGGGGGAAACCCUGACGCAGCGACGUCGUGUGAGGGAAGAAGGCUUUCGGGUCGUAAACCUCUGUCAGAAGGGAAGAAACGUCAGGAUUCAAUAGGGUCCUGGCCUGACGGUCCUUCAAAGGAAGCGCCGGCUAACUCCGUGCCAGCAGCCGCGGUAAUACGAGGGCGCGAGCGUUAAUCGGAAUCACUGGGCGUAAAGCGUGCGUAGGCGGUUUGAUAAGUCAGACCAAAUCCCUCGGCUCAACCGGGGAACUGCGUUUGAAACUGUUAGACUCCAGUCCUGGAGAGGGUGGCGGAAUUCCUGGUGUAGGAUGAAAUCCGUAGAUAUCAGAGGAACACCGGUGGCGAAGGCGGCCACCUGGACAGGUACUGACGCUGAGGCCAAGCUGGGGAGCAAACAGGAUUAAUACCCUGGUAGUCCACGCGGUAAACAUGGAUGCUAGGUGUCGGGAGCGAUCUUCGGCGCCGCACUAACGCAUUAAGCAUCCCGCCUGGGGAGUACGGUCGCAGGCUGAAACUCAAAGGAAUAGACAGGGGCCCGCCAACGUGGAGUAUGUGGUUUAAUUCAUGCAACCGAAUAACCUUACCUGGGUUUGACAUCCCACGAAUUCUUCCGAAAAGAAUAAGUGCCCUUCGGGACUAUGAAUAAGGGCGAAUUCCACCAUUGG